RNAcentral lists this ribosomal RNA (942 nucleotides) under Pseudomonas songnenensis. RNAcentral's name for it is "bacterial SSU rRNA". It matches the Rfam family "Bacterial small subunit ribosomal RNA", at positions 41 to 980 of the family's 1533-position model. Lineage: Bacteria; Pseudomonadati; Pseudomonadota; Gammaproteobacteria; Pseudomonadales; Pseudomonadaceae. The record is from RNAcentral.
GGUGCGGCAGCUACAAUGCAAGUCGAGCGGAGAAUGGAAUUGCUCCUUAUUGGCGGCGGACGGGUGAGUAUGCCUAUGAAUCUGCCUGGUGUGGAGGACAACGUCUCCAAAGGAACGCUAAUACCGCAUACGCCCUACGGGAGAAAGCGGGGGAUCUUCUGACCUUGGGCUAUCGCAUGAGCCUAUGUCGGAUUACCUAGUUGGUGAGGUAAUGGCUCACCUGGCGACCAUCCGUAACUGGUUUGAUAGGAUGAUCGACGGCUGGCACUGAGACACGGACCGAACUCCUACGGGAGGCCGCAGUGGGGAAUAUUGGACAAUGGGUGAAAGCCUGAUCCACCCAUGCCGCGAGUGUGAACAAGGGCUUCAGAUUGUAAAGCACUUUAGGUUGGUAGGAAGGGAAGUAAGAUAAUACCUUGCUGUUUUGACGUUACCCCCAGAAUAAACACCGGCUAACUUCCUGCCAUCAGCCCCGGUAAUACGAAGGGUGCAAGCGUUAAUCGGAAUUACUGGGCGUAAAGCGUGCGCAUGUGGGUCUCUAAGUUGGAUGUUUAAUUCUCAUGCUCAACCUGGCAACUGCAUCCGUGACUGGCAUUCUAGACUGUGGCAGAGGGUGGUGGAAUUUCCUGUGUAACUGUGAAAUGCGUAGAUAUAGGGAGGAACACCGGUGACGAACGCGACCACCUGGGCUCAUUCUGACACUGAGGCGCGAAAGCGUGGAGAGCAAACGAGAUUAGAUACCCUGAUAGUCUACGCCGUAAACCCAUGUCAACUAGCCGUGGGGGCUCUUUGGUGUCGUUGUGGCCGCCCUAUCGCGUUAAAUCUAACGCCUGAGGCAGUACGGCCUGGAGGGUUAGAACUCCAAUGAUUUAGACUGGAGUCACGCACAAGCGGGCGCAGCAUGUGGUUUAUAUCAUAUCAUCCAUACAACCUUACCAGCCU